GACGAACGCUGGCGGCGUGCUUAACACAUGCAAGUCGAACGGAAAGGCCCUCAUCUUGGUGUGGGUGCGUGAGUGACGAACGGGUGAGUAACACGUGGUUGAUCUUCCCUUUACUUCGGGAUAUGCUUGGGAAACUGGGUCUACUACCGGAUAGGAUCAUGGUUUUGUGUGUUGUGGUGUUAUUUUUAUUGUUUUUGUGCAGGCUGCGAGCGCGGCCUUUGAGCGUGUUGGUGGGGUGAUGGCCUGCCAAGGGGGCGACGGGUAGCCGGCGUGAGUGGGUGGACAGCGAGAGUGGAACUGAGAAAUGGGCCAGAGACCUGCGGGAGGCAGCAGUGGGGAGUAUUGGAGGAGAGGCGCAAGCCAGGGGCAGCGACGCGGCGUGGGGGAUGACGGUGUGCGAGUUGUAAACUCCUGUCGUUAGGGACGAAGCCACGCUUUUUAGGUGUGGGGACCGGUACUUAGAGAAGAAGCACCGGCUAACUACGUG
RNAcentral lists this ribosomal RNA (487 nucleotides) under uncultured bacterium. RNAcentral's name for it is "partial 16S ribosomal RNA". It matches the Rfam family "Bacterial small subunit ribosomal RNA", at positions 28 to 507 of the family's 1533-position model. The record is from RNAcentral.